This 490-nucleotide ribosomal RNA is filed under the name uncultured bacterium. Its description in RNAcentral is "partial 16S ribosomal RNA". It matches the Rfam family "Bacterial small subunit ribosomal RNA", at positions 30 to 507 of the family's 1533-position model. The record is from RNAcentral.
AUUGAACGCUGGCGGCAGGCCUAACACAUGCAAGUCGAACGGUAACAGGGAUCAGCUUGCUGAUUCGCUGACGAGUGGCGGACGGGUGAGUAAUGUCUGGGAAACUGCCUGAUGGAGGGGGAUAACUACUGGAAACGGUAGCUAAUACCGCAUAACGUCGCAAGACCAAAGAGGGGGACCUUCGGGCCUCUUGCCAUCUGAUGUGCCCAGAUGGGAUUAGCUAGUAGGUGGGGUAACGGCUCACCUAGGCGACGAUCCCUAGCUGGCCUGAGAGGAUGACCAGCCACACUGGAACGGAAACAAGGUCCAGACUCCUACGGGAGGCAGCAGUGGGGAAUAUUGCACAAUGGGCGGAAGGCUGAUGCAGCCAUGCCGCGUGUAUGAAGAAGGCCUUCGGGUUGUAAAGUACUUUCAGCGGGGAGGAAGGGAGUAAAGUUAAUACCUUUGCUCAUUGACGGUACCCGAAGAAGAAGCACCGGCUAACUCCGUG